UACGGAGGGGGCUAGCGUUGUUCGGAAUUACUGGGCGUAAAGCGCACGUAGGCGGCUUUGCAAGUUAGAGGUGAAAGCCCGGGGCUCAACUCCGGAAUUGCCUUUAAAACUGCAUCGCUAGAAUCGUGGAGAGGUGAGUGGAAUUCCGAGUGUAGAGGUGAAAUCCGUAGAUAUGCGGAAGAACACCAGUGGCGAAGGCGACUCACUGGACACGUAUUGACGCUGAGGUGCGAAAGCGUGGGGAGCAAACAGG
RNAcentral lists this ribosomal RNA (253 nucleotides) under uncultured prokaryote. RNAcentral's name for it is "partial 16S ribosomal RNA". It matches the Rfam family "Bacterial small subunit ribosomal RNA", at positions 524 to 776 of the family's 1533-position model. The record is from RNAcentral.